Molecule: ribosomal RNA, 59 nt
Filed under: Syzygium samarangense (wax apple)
Lineage: Eukaryota; Viridiplantae; Streptophyta; Magnoliopsida; Myrtales; Myrtaceae
Also listed under: 1 other name
Description: partial 26S ribosomal RNA
Source: RNAcentral
CGCGACCCCAGGUCAAGCGGGGCUACCCGCUGAGUUUAAGCAUAUCAAUAAGCGGAGGA